AUUUACAAUAUGGAAAAAACAAUAAUUGUUGCAAACUUGAGCUUUUUUUUUAUAUAACGUGAUGAAUCCCAUUUAAAAAAGAAACGUAUAAUAUACUUGUAGGCCCGGCCCUUAGAGGAAGCCGAAGAAAGCAAGGGCUUCUGACCUUCAUAAAUAUAUAUUAGUUUUGGCCAUCAAUGUACAAAGUAUGAUUUAGUUUAGUGGUAUAAAUGUUGGUGUUUAUAUCUCAAUAACCCGGGUUAGAGCCAUGGGCUUGACACUUUUUCAUAGUUCUAAAAAGUAGGGUUCACAAAUUGUUGACGUGGCGCGCUGAGGAUUGAGCGAAGUACACCAUUUUAAUGUAGAUUUUAAUCAUUAAUAUUGUUUACUAAUAUAUAAAUUACUUAAUUUAACUGAUUUAGUAAGUUCAAACAUGUGGUAGAGAAACGGAUCAGAAAAAAGGAAAUUUUGUUUGUGUGUUAUCGGUUAUAAUAAGUUACUAGAUUUUGAUCCGCGCUUUUAAAGCGCGGGUUUAUUUUUCUCUUAAUGUUUUUUAUAAAAUUUGGAAAAUUUUGUGACAUGUAAUAUGUUCAUGUAUUUUUUAUGAUAUUAAUUUAUUUUUAUUUUAUUCCUCAGUAUUUAUAUAUAUAAAAUUGAACUUGAUUUUUAAAAAAAAAACUUAAAGUGGUAUUUUUUCAAUCAAUCUUCAUUUAUAUGUACCGACUUUUUCAAAGAGUUUUUUUUAACAGAUUUAACUUGUGAAUAAACUAUUAUUAUAUUAUUUUUAAAAAGUUUACUUAUAUUGAGAAAAAGAAAUAUUAAUAAUUAUGUGUGAAUGUUUAUUAAUAUAAAUAUUAUAACUUGGCCCAAAUGGUCCAAACGAAAAUAUUUGUACAGACAAAACUCGGCCCAAUAUAAAACUCGACCCAAAUGAAAUAUUUGUUCCGACAAAAUGAACUUCCGCGUGCUGAUCUUGGCCCAAAAUAAUUUGGAAGUAUUCUGGUCAUAACUUGCAAGAUAUUUUACCAUUAGUUUGGCCCAAUCAGUAUUUUAUGUAAAUAUCCAUUUUAUGUAUUUUAUGUUGAUAAAACCCAUGGUAAAAUAAAUAUUUUAGAUUUCUACCGACAAAACUCGUGGUCUUUGACCAUCACGUUAAAAAAAACAGUAAAGGAAAGAUAAUUCUUUUGUCUGGGACGUUUCUUUUUCGGUAAAAUUGUCUUCAGGUUCACCUCUGAAAUGACGAUUGAGAUGCCAUUCAAAGCUCCAAAAACACAAAUCCAUGGUGGUAAUGACGGAAUCAAGGUUGCUUGAAGAGGUGAACACGUUCUGUAGCAAAUGAAAGAGCAACCGAUUAAUCUGAUUUGGAUCAAAGUCAAACCGACGAUUCAGCACACGGAAGAUCCACCAAGUGCUUCAACAUUUUCCGAUCUAUUUAGAUCGAAGGGAUGUUUGAGAAGAACCAUGGUUUUGAGAUGAUUGUCGAUAUUUGAAAGACAACAAAAUGGAACAAUGUACUCUCGGAGAAAAUGAAAUAUUCCGAUCACAACUAUCAAAGAGAUGUCAUUCGUCUAUGGACAACAACAUUAUUUUAAAUUCAAAGAUAAGUUACUUCCUGAUACUUUUUCUUCUUUUACAUUAAUAUAAAAGUGUAACUUACAUAUAAAUAUAACUUGAUUAGUUACAGAUUUAUUGACAUGGGACAUAGAUGAGAAACUUUAGGUGUUUUAUAUUUGAGUCCGUUGACUAAAAAGUGUUACAAUUCUUGACCUGGUCAUGCAGUUAAAAGUUUGAAGACACAGAUUAAUUCAGCUGAAGGACCAUGGGACAAAUACAUAAUGCCAAAGCAAUACGAACCAAUAAGAGCCGGUUUACUUAAGGUGCAAGAAAUCAGUAGAUGAUUUGGACAUGGCAACAAUGGAAUCUCCCUCAUAGAUACGCCCAUAUAGAACUCCCCUUGAUAAAGUGGUAUUUUGAUUGGUAAUAAGAAGAGAGGUGAAUUUAAAGAUUCACCCUAGGGGUGAACCUAAGUCUUGUUCUCCAUGCUCCAACAGGAAGAAUGCGGCCUUUACUCUCCAUCUUCAUCGGAUAGCACCAUCUCGAGGGUGUCCCCGUGCACUGGGUUGUACUGCUUCCAAGAGUGCAGAACCUUCACAUGUACUUUCCAGCCACUCUUGAAGGGUUUCACAUCUUUCAAAGGGGUCACUUUCAUUGCGGAAGACAUUUUUUUUUUGAUUGCUAAUGUAGUUGUGAGUAAAUGUGAGAAAUCUUAGGCAUGUUGUAGGUGUUUAUAUAGCAGUAGGUUAAUCGAUGGUUCUAAAUGUCUGGUCAAAAAAAUAUCUCUUGUAUAUUCUUAAUUCAAUAUAGGAAACCCUUAGA
Molecule: long non-coding RNA, 2355 nt
Organism: Brassica napus (rape)
Lineage: Eukaryota; Viridiplantae; Streptophyta; Magnoliopsida; Brassicales; Brassicaceae
Exons: 6
Source: RefSeq, a predicted model, not a curated record